Long non-coding RNA from Triticum aestivum (bread wheat), 2774 nucleotides. RefSeq lists it as uncharacterized. The record is from RefSeq and is a predicted model, not a curated record. Lineage: Eukaryota; Viridiplantae; Streptophyta; Magnoliopsida; Poales; Poaceae. The transcript has 4 exons.
UAAGAUUGGACGUACGCUGAGAGGGGUCCUCCCUUAAUCUCUCUCUCUCUCUCUCUCUCUCUCUCUCCCUGGAGAAGAAAAUCUGCGUGUAUUCUCCUCGAAUUUGACUAGGAAACUGGCGACCUGUAUCGAUUGAAGCAUCCAGUGCAUGAUGGACAAGCCGCAUCUGCAUCCAGAAGGCCUCUCCACUGCAUCAUAUAUAUUUUGCGGCUCCACGACUCCAUGGCAGGUAGGAGGCAGCAACAAUGGCUGAAGUUUGUAUCAUCGACAUCAAAUUUGUGCAGCUGUAUGUAGCGUUGGACAGAACAUGUACUCUGCACCAAAGCAAGUUUCAUGGAUCUCAGGGACGAUGGAAUUUAGCUGUAGGAGCAUUGGCCAUGCAGAAUUUUUUAGGGACCUUAUAGGAUUUCGCUUUGAGGUAAAAUUAAUUAAUAUUGGGUCUACCAGGUACAUGUCAUUGCUCCCAUGGUUAAUCUCGAGCUCUUAUGGCUGUUCCAUCAGUUCAAUAUAUUGUGAGAUGUUGAUUGGUAAGAUAUGGUACAGUUUUUGUUGUCCAGUGCUUCUCAAAACAAAAUUUAUUGUCUAGUGUUUGGAUUUGUUCGAAGUUUGUAACUACAUCUGUUAUUUCUAGAUAAGUUUGUCGCUUUCUCUGCAGACCACUGCUCAUUAGGUUAUCUCAUCAUGCAUGCAUGUAGGCUGUACUCAACAUUCCAUCUUUAAGCCCGCUAGCAAGAGGCCUAAAUUAUUUAUGGUGUGUGAUGCAUGCACAAAGGCGUAGGUUUAAAAUUAAUCAACGUCACAGUGUGAACCUUGCCAAACCCAUAUUCAUUAAGUUUAUCAUGAGUAAUAAUUCAGUAGAAUUGAUGUUUCUAUGUUAAUUUAAUUUGUACAUCUCACAUAUAUAGUAUCCUAUUUCAUAGUUGGCAUAACAAUAACAAGGUAGCUCAUGGUUUGCCUCAGCUAGGAGAAAUAGGAUUUUCUAUGUGUUGACCUGCUAUUUCUUUAUGUGAAGUCCAAGUUGGCAUCCACGGUACAUGGAUGCAGAAGAAAACACUUUAUACAGUCGAGCCUCGCCACAAUCUUUUUUUGGAUCUACAGUAACGGUCUUCGUUGCUCGGGUGAUGCAGUGUAGCAGAUAUCGGACAUCUUGCAGAAGAUAAGGAGUGCCACAACCUGCUAGGAGAGGGUGAUCAUAGGAGUUACAGAAUCAAGGCAAGGGAGCAACUAAGGUAAUGGAAAGGGUGUUACAAAUGAGACUUGCACAACCAAAUGUAGGUACGGUGGGAAGAAAGGGCUGGGAGGAUGAUCCCUAUUGUGCAUCUGGCUGCUGUGAUGGUGUGAGAAAAAGCAAAAGGAACCACUUCUGCAGAGGAUUGUACGGGAUGAUGUAACACGGUUUUCAGAAAACAAGCAGAUGCCUAUGCAACUUCAAGUUGGUCGCCCACCAACACAUACUGUCCCAACUAAACAGCUUAAGUGUUGCUUUGACUGAGGUAUUCAUGCCAUAUAUAUUGUGAACCAUUAAAGCGAGCAGCACGUGGAAAUCACAGAAGGAGAAGCGACUGAAGUCCUAAAGUCUAUUAUAAUCUACAUGGUUAAUCUCGAGGUCUUAUGGGUGUUCCAUCACAGUUUAAAAUAUUAUGAGAUGUUGACUGGUAAGGUAUGGUACAAUUAUUGUUGUCCAGUGCUUCUAAAAACAAAAUUUAUUGUACAAUGUUUGGAUUUGUUAGAAGUGUGUAACUACACCUAUUAUUUCUAGAUAAUUUUGGUGCUUUCUCUGUACACCACUGCUCAUUUUCUGUUAUCAUGGGUGUUAUGAUAGAAGUUUUAACAUGCAAUAUAUAGAGUUUAGAAGGUUGUUUUCAUAUAAUCCAAAUCAAAAGUUUUAUGGCAGUCUAUUACAUCAGAGUAGAUAUCUCGAUAUUAACUUGAAUUAUUAUUAUAAUUAACACUUGGAUGACCAAGAAGCAGUUGUCAAGCAUGCAAAAAGUGACAAAAAUGCAAUUUUCAGUAACACCUUGAUAAUUUCGCUUUUCAUAUUCUGGCAAGUGGCAACGUACUUUGGUACUGCUAAAACUGUUGUGCUACAUGUGUGUAUACCUUCAACAUUAGCUUGCUAGGUAAUCUGUAUGCAUGUUUAGGCUUUUUUGGCUGCACAAGACUUUGUAGCCUGCAAAAAGACUUGGCACCGGACUGCGUGCGUUGCCACCUCGGAGAGCGGCUGCAAGCUUGCUGCGUAUCCUGCCUUGGGAAACACACAUGGCUGGCGGCCAACACGUUAGUGACACCAAUGGCAGACCUCACCGGUGGAGGAGCUCAGGCAUGACGCAGUUCACCGGGUGGAGGAACUCAAACAGCAGCUAGACUCCUAGAAGGAUGAAAUCGACCCAAAGAAGAUGUUAUGUACUGGUGGUGUGUCGAUUUGACAACUGAGGAGAGUCAUCAAAGAUAGUGGCGCUCGAUCACACUGGACCAAGUCACUAUAAAAAGUGAUCAGUUCUCCGGGACGAUUUAGGACAGUUGGAAGUUUCUUUUUGCAUAGUGCUAGUGUUUCCAUUGAUAGCCGGUCAAAGCUGAUGUCAAUGUGGAAGCAUUUGCAAGUUGAAUGUUUUUUAUCGGUGGUAUGGACAGAAGAUAAAAAGGUAGAUCAACCAUGUGUAUUUUAGGUGUGUAUGAUGUAAAGAUUGAAGGUUGGUUUUCGUAUCCGAGGGUACGCUAUGUGUGAUGUAUUUCAUCCGGGAGGAUUGUGCUUAGGACUGCAUCGGACAGAGUGU